This 253-nucleotide ribosomal RNA is filed under the name uncultured bacterium. RNAcentral's name for it is "partial 16S ribosomal RNA". It matches the Rfam family "Bacterial small subunit ribosomal RNA", at positions 524 to 776 of the family's 1533-position model. The record is from RNAcentral.
UACGUAGGGUGCAAGCGUUGUCCGGAAUUAUUGGGCGUAAAGGGCUCGUAGGCGGUUUGUCGCGUCUGCCGUGAAAGUCCGGGGCUCAACUCCGGAUCUGCGGUGGGUACGGGCAGACUAGAGUGAUGUAGGGGAGACUGGAAUUCCUGGUGUAGCGGUGAAAUGCGCAGAUAUCAGGAGGAACACCGAUGGCGAAGGCAGGUCUCUGGGCAUUAACUGACGCUGAGGCGCGAAAGCUAGGGGAGCAAACGGG